Molecule: ribosomal RNA, 253 nt
Filed under: uncultured bacterium
Lineage: Bacteria
Description: partial 16S ribosomal RNA
Rfam family: Bacterial small subunit ribosomal RNA
Source: RNAcentral
UACGUGGGUGGCAAGCGUUGUCCGGAUUUACUGGGCGUAAAGAGCGCGCAGGCGGUCGUACAAGUCGCGUGUGAAAGCCCCCGGCUCAACUGGGGAGGGUCACGCGAUACUGUUCGACUCGAAGGCAGGAGAGGGAAGUGGAAUUCCCGGUGUAGUGGUGAAAUGCGUAGAUAUCGGGAGGAACACCAGUGGCGAAGGCGACUUCCUGGCCUGUUCUUGACGCUGAGGCGCGAAAGCUAGGGUAGCAAACGGG